Molecule: non-coding RNA, 173 nt
Filed under: Virgibacillus pantothenticus
Lineage: Bacteria; Bacillati; Bacillota; Bacilli; Caryophanales; Bacillaceae
Source: RNAcentral
CUUAUCGUGAGUUAAGGGCUGAAGAAAGCGUGUAUCAAAAUCUUCGCUCAACGAACAAAAAUCGGAUACCAAGGCUAUGUAGGUGGAUAAGGCUCCACAACAAGUAAAAGUUCUAAAGGAUGUGCGUAAUCCUAUAGAAGAAAUUAGGCGAGUAAAAGAGGAAAGAUAUAGUU